CCUCUCACAUGCAAUACCACAAGCAUCCCAACACAUACACACACACCACCAACCACACAAUGUAACAUAUCAUAUAUACACACACACACACACACACACAAUUUCACAAGCAGCCCCACAUACACAGCCCACAUUCAUGGGUAUAAUACACAAUUAGUACCACAAAUUACUCAUGAACAUGUACAAUAUAACAGCCCAAAUACACACAUAUACAACAUUACAAAGCAACUG
Pelobates cultripes (western spadefoot toad) is the source of this 231-nucleotide non-coding RNA. The record is from the annotation of a GenBank genome assembly. NCBI's taxonomy places the organism in Eukaryota, Metazoa, Chordata, Amphibia, Anura, Pelobatidae.